RNAcentral lists this ribosomal RNA (774 nucleotides) under uncultured Candidatus Cardinium sp. RNAcentral describes it as "bacterial SSU rRNA". It matches the Rfam family "Bacterial small subunit ribosomal RNA", at positions 627 to 1406 of the family's 1533-position model. Lineage: Bacteria; Pseudomonadati; Bacteroidota; Cytophagia; Cytophagales; Amoebophilaceae. The record is from RNAcentral.
UUGAUACUAUUAGGCUUGAGUUAAGAAGAGGUAAGCAGAAUUUAUGGUGUAGUAGUGAAAUACUUAGAUAUCAUGAGGAAUACCAAUAGCGUAGGCAGCUUACUGGUCUUUAACUGACGCUGAGGCACGAAAGCGUGGGGAGCAAACAGGAUUAGAUACCCUGGUAGUCCACGCCGUAAACGAUGAUCACUCGAUAUACAUGAUACAUCAUGUGUGUCUAAGCGAAAGCGUUAAGUGAUCCACCUGGGGAGUAUACUCGCAAGGGUGAAACUCAAAGGAAUUGACGGGGGUCCGCACAAGCGGUGGAGUGUGUGGUUUAAUUCGAUAAUACGCGAGGAACCUUACCUGGGCUAGAAUGUGUUUUGCUACCUUGAGAAAUUGAGGGUUCCUUCGGGACGGAAUACAAGGUGCUGCAUGGCUGUCGUCAGCUCGUGCCGUGAUGUGUUGGGUUAAGUCCUAUAACGAGCGAAACCCUUUUACUUAAUUGCCAGCACGUAAUGGUGGGGACUUUAAGUAGGCUGCCCGUGUAAGCGGGAGGAAGGAGAGGACGAGGUCAAGUCAUCAUGCCUUUAUGCCCAGGGCUACACACGUACUACAAUGGCAUGUACAAAGGGAAGCUACUUGGCAACAAGAUGCAAAUCUCAAAAGCAUGUCUCAGUUCGGAUUGAGGUCUGCAAUUCGACCUCAUGAAGUUGGAAUCGCUAGUAAUCGCGUAUCAGCAAUGACGCGGUGAAUACGUUCUCGGACCUUGUACACACCGCCCAUCAAGCCAUG